This 402-nucleotide ribosomal RNA is filed under the name uncultured prokaryote. Its description in RNAcentral is "bacterial SSU rRNA". It matches the Rfam family "Bacterial small subunit ribosomal RNA", at positions 355 to 774 of the family's 1533-position model. The record is from RNAcentral.
UAGGGAAUAUUAGAAAUGGACGAAAGUCUGAUCUAGCUACACCGCGUGUGCGAAGAAGGCCUUCGGGUUGUAAAGCACUUUUUGGAAGGAUUAGGAAGGAAUGUACUUCCAGAAUAAGUCUCGGCUAACUACGUGCCAGCAGCCGCGGUAACACGUAGGAGGCAAACGUUAUCCGGAUUUACUGGGCGUAAAGCGCGUGUAGGUGGUUUGGUAAGUAGAGCGUGAAAGCUCCUGGCUCAACUGGGAGAGGUCGUUCUAAACUGCCGGACUAGAGGAUGGUAGAGGGAGGUGGAAUUCCGGGUGUAGCGGUGGAAUGCGCAGAUAUCCGGAGGAACACCAGUGGCGAAAGCGGGUCGCUGGGCCGGAACUGACGCUGAUGAGCGAAAGCAGGGGGAGCAAACA